GUGUUGGAUUACUUUCAAUUGUUAUCCCGCGGCACCCACAUAUCCCCAACAGCCAGCCUAUCGAGUUCGAGUUGAAGAUCAGCGAGUAGGAGGCUUUAAUCAACCACAAGCUAUCAGCAACUAAAAUCCAGUUCAAACGGAUCCGAUUCUUUCAUUGAGUUUUCCUUCCGACCCAGGUAAUCUUAGAGCGACAUAUCGUCUGAACCAUAUAGACGCACCGUACUUGGUCUAUAUCGUCAUAGAUACGAAAAAGUGGAAAAGCGAUUUGCUGGGUCAACUAAUCGGUCAAACCCGCUACUGCUCAGGUUUUUUGGUUUCAGAAACACGCGUUUUGACUGCAGCGCAUUGCAAGGAUCAAAUGAGAGAUAAUGGAUACAUGAGUCUUUAUUUCACAAAUGGUGACAAAAGAAAAGUAAUUUAUGAAAAUAUAAUAAUUCAUGAUGACUAUGAUAAUCUUGACAUGGACUA
This is a long non-coding RNA of Sitodiplosis mosellana (orange wheat blossom midge), 468 nucleotides long. RefSeq lists it as uncharacterized. The transcript has 3 exons. Lineage: Eukaryota; Metazoa; Arthropoda; Insecta; Diptera; Cecidomyiidae. The record is from RefSeq and is a predicted model, not a curated record.